CCCGCACAAGCAGCGGAGCGUGUGGUUUAAUUCGAUGUUACACGAAGACCUUACCAGGGUUUGACAUGCAAGUGGUAGGAAGCCGAAAGGUGACCGACCCUUCGGGGAGCUUGCACAGGUGCUGCAUGGCUGUCGUCAGCUCGUGUCGUGAGAUGUUCGGUUAAGUCCGCUAACGAGCGCAACCCUCGCUGUGUGUUAUAUGUGUCACACGGGACUGCCGGUCUUAAGCCGGAGGAAGGUGGGGAUGAUGUCAAGUCAGCAUGGCCUUUAUAUCCUGGGCUACACACACGCUACAAUGGCCAACACAAUAGGUUGCUAAGCCGCGAGGUGGCGCCAAUCCAUAAAGUUGGUCUCAGUUCAGAUUGUAGGCUGCAACCCGCCUGCAUGAAGAUGGAGUUGCUAGUAACCGCAGGUCAGCUAUACUGCGGUGAAUACGUUCCCGGGGCUU
Molecule: ribosomal RNA, 448 nt
Filed under: uncultured Leptolinea sp.
Lineage: Bacteria; Bacillati; Chloroflexota; Anaerolineae; Anaerolineales; Anaerolineaceae
Description: bacterial SSU rRNA
Rfam family: Bacterial small subunit ribosomal RNA
Source: RNAcentral